AUGUUCACAUUGGCAGCACAUACAUAAAAAAUCAGGACAAUGCACAGAAGAGUAGCAUGGCCUUUCUGCAAGGAUGACACUCAAAUUUAUGAAGUGUUCCAUACUUUU
This 108-nucleotide small nuclear RNA is filed under the name Peromyscus maniculatus bairdii (prairie deer mouse). The record is from RNAcentral. Lineage: Eukaryota; Metazoa; Chordata; Mammalia; Rodentia; Cricetidae.